Molecule: ribosomal RNA, 370 nt
Filed under: uncultured organism
Description: bacterial SSU rRNA
Rfam family: Bacterial small subunit ribosomal RNA
Source: RNAcentral
CGUAGGCAGCAAGCGUUGUUCGGAGUUACUGGGCGUAAAGAGUGCGUAGGCGGUGCCCUAAGUCUGUUGUGAAAUCUCCCGGCUUAACUGGGAGGGUGCGGUGGAAACUGGGGUGCUUGAGAGUGGGAGAGGUUAGCGGAAUUCCUGGUGUAGCGGUGAAAUGCGUAGAUAUCAGGAGGAACACCGGUGGUGUAGACGGCUGACUGGACCACGACUGACGCUGAGGCACGAAAGCGUGGGUAGCAAACAGGAUUAGAUACCCUGGUAGUCCACGCCCUAAACGAUGCAUACUUGGUGUGAGCCAUUCAUUUGGUUCGUGCCGGAGCUAACGCGUUAAGUAUGCCGCCUGGGGAGUACGGUCGCAAGGCUG